UGAUCUUGUUUCAUGGAGGAAAAAUGUUUAUACAUCGUUAAAAAGACGUGCUGUAGUUGUUUACAAUGUUUCACCAACUUUCUUUUCAACCGUUAUCCCUGUAAAUACGUUGAGAUGUAAGUUUUUAUGGAUGUUACAUGUCUGUAUUGUUGCUGCUGGAAUACUCUCAUCACAAGACUGGUGGAGCUUACUCUUAUUGAAAAUUUACCUAACUGGUGUGAAGGUAGUCCUCGCUACUGUACUUUUGACCAGAACGUGAGCAUUCCCAUGGACUUAAAUAAACGUUGAACAUCUUUUU
Molecule: long non-coding RNA, 298 nt
Organism: Xenia sp. Carnegie-2017
Lineage: Eukaryota; Metazoa; Cnidaria; Anthozoa; Malacalcyonacea; Xeniidae
Exons: 2
Source: RefSeq, a predicted model, not a curated record